CUCUCUUUCUCUCUCUCUCUCUCUCUCUCUCUCUCUCUCUGUGUGUGUGUGUGUGAGAGAGAGAGAGAGAGAGAGAGAGAGAGCU
This is a non-coding RNA of Podarcis lilfordi (Lilford's wall lizard), 85 nucleotides long. Lineage: Eukaryota; Metazoa; Chordata; Lepidosauria; Squamata; Lacertidae. The record is from the annotation of a GenBank genome assembly.